UUGGGUUUGCAGAGGCCUGUAGGAACUCGAAUACUAGAUGAGCUGAGAGAUGUGUAUUCUUUCUGUUGAAUAUUUCUUUUUGUGUGAGGAGACAUGGUUUUGGAUUUUCUUUCUUUCUUUCUUUUUUUAGAUGUUCUUCAUGAUGAAAUUGUAAAUGAAAAUUUGGUUAGAAAUGAGGACUGCUCUUUCAGAGCAGUGCGUGGAACCCUCUGGAAGCUGAAGGCGUUUGGGGUGAAAGCCUCUGGGCCGUGGCAGGCAGCUGUGUGCAUUCAGACAUGAGGCUGGGAGACUCACACCUCAGUGAGACCUAGCUUCUGCUUCUUCUCCCUCGUCUCUGGACUCAGCCUGGGAAGAAUGUGCGCUAGUUCAGAGGAAGAACGUGCUCUUCUUCGCUGUCCCUGCAUCGCUUUGUGCUCAGGUGGAGGAGAGAAAGAUCUAAGUGUCAAACUGUUAUUCUCAGGAGGAGCUGAAAGGAUUCUUUUCAAGAGUCUCUCACUGAACCCGGACUCACAGACUCAGCUCCACUGGCCACCGAGCCCCAGGGAUCCUUUGGUCUCCAGCUCCCCAGCACUGAGAUUGCGGGCACACACAGCCACGGCUAGCUUUAUCAUGUGGGUGCUGGGGUUCGAACUCAUGCUCCUGCAGCAAGCACUUUACCAACUAAGCCAUCUCCCUGCCCCAGAAAGCAGCUUUGAAAGCGAAAUUUUUUCUUUCUGAUUCCACAGCUACAGUCGGAUCAACUGACAAUCCCUCCUUUCUGUGUAUCUAUGCACACACUUUUAUACACAUGGAUUAUACUAUUUAAAAAUAUAAUGAGGAAACUCCCUUCUCAUUUUGUUUCAAUAAAUAUCUCACUCGA
Molecule: long non-coding RNA, 859 nt
Organism: Peromyscus californicus insignis
Lineage: Eukaryota; Metazoa; Chordata; Mammalia; Rodentia; Cricetidae
Exons: 2
Source: RefSeq, a predicted model, not a curated record